UUACGAAACUUACAAAAAAACAAAAAACACUCAUUUUUCUCAAGAAAACUAUGUAGAGAGAGGAAAAACGAAAAAAAGAAAAACGAAGAGAAAUUAAGAAAGGGAGGUCGGAGAAAGAUAAAGAAACUAAUCUAUUCUAGAGAGAGGAAAUCUAGAGAGAGAGAGAGAAGAGGGAGGUUUUGCCCACAUUUUAAGAGUGAGAGAAAAUCUAGUGAGAGAAAGCUGAGAGGAAAAGAGAGAAGGAAGAAAAAAAAAAGAGUGAAUAAAGAGAGAGAAAAGCAGUGAGGAAAUUUGAAAUAGAAAUUAGGGGGAUUGAGAUUGAGAUUGAAACUGGAAUCGGAAAUCCUUCGCAGCGGUUAGAGAGAAGAGAGAGGGA
This is a non-coding RNA of Theobroma umbraticum, 376 nucleotides long. The record is from RefSeq and is a predicted model, not a curated record. NCBI's taxonomy places the organism in Eukaryota, Viridiplantae, Streptophyta, Magnoliopsida, Malvales, Malvaceae.